RNAcentral lists this ribosomal RNA (425 nucleotides) under uncultured bacterium. RNAcentral's name for it is "partial 16S ribosomal RNA". It matches the Rfam family "Bacterial small subunit ribosomal RNA", at positions 354 to 796 of the family's 1533-position model. The record is from RNAcentral.
GUGGGGAAUAUUGCACAAUGGGGGAAACCCUGAUGCAGCGACGCCGCGUGAGUGAAGAAGUAUUUCGGUAUGUAAAGCUCUAUCAGCAGGGAAGAAAAUGACGGUACCUGACUAAGAAGCCCCGGCUAACUACGUGCCAGCAGCCGCGGUAAUACGUAGGGGGCAAGCGUUAUCCGGAAUUACUGGGUGUAAAGGGAGCGUAGGUGGCAUGGCAAGUCAGAAGUGAAAGCCCUUGGCUUAACUGGGGGACUGCUUUUGAAACUGUCAGGCUAGAGUGCAGGAGGGGUAAGUGGAAUUCCUAGUGUAGCGGUGAAAUGCGUAGAUAUUAGGAGGAACACCGGUGGCGAAGGCGGCUUACUGGACUGUAACAGACACUGAGGCUCGAAAGCGUGGGGAGCAAACAGGAUUAGAUACCCCGGUAGUCC